UACGUAGGGGGCUAGCGUUGUCCGGAAUCAUUGGGCGUAAAGCGCGCGUAGGCGGCCCGGUAAGUCCGCUGUGAAAGUCAAAGGCUCAACCUUUGAAUGUCAGCGGAUACUGCUGUGGCUUGAGUCCGGUAGGGGAGCGUGGAAUUCCUGGUGUAGCGGUGAAAUGCGCAGAUAUCAGGAGGAACACCAAUUGCGAAGGCAGCUUGCUGGGACGGUACUGACGCUGAGGCGCGAAAGCGUGGGGAGCAAACAGG
This 254-nucleotide ribosomal RNA is filed under the name uncultured bacterium. RNAcentral's name for it is "partial 16S ribosomal RNA". It matches the Rfam family "Bacterial small subunit ribosomal RNA", at positions 524 to 776 of the family's 1533-position model. The record is from RNAcentral.